Molecule: long non-coding RNA, 2829 nt
Organism: Felis catus (domestic cat)
Lineage: Eukaryota; Metazoa; Chordata; Mammalia; Carnivora; Felidae
Exons: 3
Source: RefSeq, a predicted model, not a curated record
GAGGGUCUUUGUAAAUAGAGAAAGGCUCUAUCAAUAUAUUCAGUACUUUUUGUAUUUUUCUGAGGAGAGUGAUGCUUUGAGAUGACAAUCUAUUUCAAUACACUUUUUUAAAAUUUCUUUUUCUUUUUCUUUUUCUCCUAAAACAUCACCACUCUCAGCAGCUAGUUCUAAAAGCUGUCCACGUGCAACCAAAUCCUGUUUCCUUUGGACUUUGCUGCUUGCUAUUUAAUGCCUACUAUAUAGAUCAUAUGAGAAGUUGCUAAAAAAAAAAUGUAGCAUUGUGAAAUAGAUUUUUACAAAAAUAUCAUAUUCUAUAUUAUUACAGUAAUAAGAAAAUAAGCUACCUAGUUCCUAAGUGUUUUAGUCUUAUUUUAAAAAACUUUUUUUCCAGAUCCCCACUGAUUCUUUCUUUAUGUUGAUUAUUAGGUAUUUUCAGUCAAGCCAUAGAAACUGCAGAGAAUAACACAAUAGAGUCCCUUCACAUUGGUAACAGUUACGGAUUUCUACAUGUGUCUAUAACCUGCAGAUCUGGGGAAACUUGAGUCCCAGAAGGCCCCCUCUGCAAUGAUGCCUGGUGAAAUCUGCAAGAGACCAGGGCAGAUGGGGUCAUUUGCAGAGAAGGUCACUGGCAGGUACCCACUGCAGAAGUUUUCACAACAUGGCUGAUACUGAUAUCCCCUGCUUUUCUUCCUUGUUCCCAGCUGGCUCUAUACAUCUAUCUUAGCUUUGCCAGUCUUUGGGUGGGGUGAAACUUAAGCGGGACUUUUGUACGGUGCCCCAAAAGGCUAGGGAAACUUGUCAUUCACCCCCUCCUUUUCCCUGUGAGGGGGACUCUUUUAAGCUAGGGAGUUCCCUGUUGGUGCUGUGCAAAGCCAGUUUGGGGAAUGGGGUGACACAUGCAAAAUGAACCUUGUUCUUCCUUCCCCAGUGCAGUUAUUCCGAAGAUUUAUGUUCCACUGUGUUCCUGAAGUUUCUUAUGUGGAUUCCGGGGCUCUCAGAGAGCUGUGUUUGUUUGUGGAUUACUGUCUAAUUGCUGAUCUUUUUGCUGGAACAGAGACUGGGGUCUUCUAGUUGGCCUUCUCAUUGAUGUCACUGUGCAGAUCCCAAAUGACUAUUUCUUUAGGUGAAAAGACAUGUCUAUUUGGUGAUAUUGGCUACAGAUUUAAACUGUGUGUUUAGCAUCCAUACCUACCUGAACCUUAAUGUAAACCUACUAGCCAGUGAGUUCAAGGUAAUUUUAACAUAUGUGGUCAUGCAAAUAACUCUUCAAUGCAGGUCAAUUAGGAAUGCAUUCAAUUUUGACUUGAAGAGACACACGGAAGAAGGAACUCAAAAUUUAGUGCAUGUAACUUGAAAGCCCUGUCGAAGAUAAGACUAUUUUGUAAACACUAAAACUUUGCAGCUUUCAGAAGUUCCAAAUUAGCUAUUCUCCCAUCUAGAGAAGAAAAAUAAUAUUAUCUAACAUCUAGGUCAAAUUAGACAUAUAUGUAGUCUUUUCCCACCACAUAAAUUUUAAUAUAUUAAACACAUGACAUGAUUCCAGUCUGGUGGUGGUUUCGUUGUUAAGCUACCUAUGAGUGCUGGGUAUCUACCUAUAAUCAACUUAACAAACUGUUUUCAACACUGUUUGUUGUCCCUUUCCUAUGGUUACAAUUUACAACUUUUGCUUUAAACUGAUGGUGAAUUCAUUGACCUUAACAUCUCCUAUACGAAAUUGACUGACUCAAUGACUGAGCAGUAGCAAGCAGUGUCUCACCUGAUUUUUCCUUUUUGCCAUAUUCAGGACCAAAAAAGCAAAAAGAAAAACAUAACUCACAUACACUAGCAGAAUCAUUUCCUGAAACAUGUUAUGCCUUUCUCCUUUCUUAAGCAGCACUAACCUGGGCUGAGGUCUGUGCUUUACUGUAAAAUUUCUAUCAAUCGCAUAGUAUAUUUUUCAAGACUGAAUAAUAAAACGGCACCUGUAAAAAUAUUUAACGCAUGACCAAGAAUGCUCUAUUUUCAUGAAAUUUGAAUCUCUUCAUUGUUUCCCACUUUUUCAUGUCGAAGUCAUCCAUACUUCUUUAUUAUCCAAGGGGGUUUUCUUACUGAUACCAUAAUUGUACAUUUUCUUCAUACAUUUGCUAUUCAGUUUAGAUUGUUUCAGUCAAAUUAGAAAAUUGUUGAGUUCUGCUCAAGGUAAUCCUUUAUUUACAAUCUACAGUAUAAUUCUAUCACAUUUUUUUUUUACUUUUGUUAUCGAAAUGACUGUGUUCAAUAAUGCACAUUUUCAGCUUAGGAUAUUCACUCGCCAUCAUUUGUCAUUGAAGCUAACUGCCAAGGAAACAAGGAGAGGGAACUGAGACAUGUCACCUGCCAGAGUUCUACUGGAAGUUGGUGACAGAAGAAUUAAAAUUCACAACCUCAGAAAUUCAGUGUGGAGUUGGCCACAUUCUGCUGCAUUCUCCAUCCUGCACAAGAAUGGAAGCCAGACUGAAGUUUUCAUCAAGUUUCCUAGGAGACCAGGAAGGAACAGGGAAGAAAAAUACUGAUUAUGUUUUUGAGGAAUGGUGAAUUGCAUAAGAGAAGCACCUAAGAGCAGUCUAAAAGAUAUAGCAGCAUAGUCAGUGAAAAGAAGAAUCUAAUCAGAAGAUCAUUUAUAACUGCAAUCUGGAGAAGAAAGAGAAGUAAUGCUGAAAGUAGGAAAAUUAUUUACAAGACAACUACACUAGCAGAGAAGAGAGAUGAACUAAGGCAGUGGCAGUAAGUGAGGGUAAGAGCUGAGGCAGUAAGGCAGGUCAGCCUCAACAGUAACAUGAUCGGCAUUGCUGCACUGUGCAAUAUUUUUCU